GCAGCAUGGUCUUAGCUUGCUAAGGCCGAUGGCGACCGGCGCACGGGUGAGUAACACGUAUCCAACCUGCCGUCUACUCUUGGACAGCCUUCUGAAAGGAAGAUUAAUACAAGAUGGCAUCAUGAGUCCGCAUGUUCACAUGAUUAAAGGUAUUCCGGUAGACGAUGGGGAUGCGUUCCAUUUGAUAGUAGGCGGGGUAACGGCCCACCUAGUCUUCGAUGGAUAGGGGUUCUGAGAGGAAGGUCCCCCACAUUGGAACUGAGACACGGUCCAAACUCCUACGGGAGGCAGCAGUGAGGAAUAUUGGUCAAUGGGCGAGAGCCUGAACCAGCCAAGUAGCGUGAAGGAUGACUGCCCUAUGGGUUGUAAACUUCUUUUAUAAAGGAAUAAAGUCGGGUAUGUAUACCCGUUUGCAUGUACUUUAUGAAUAAGGAUCGGCUAACUCCGUGCCAGCAGCCGCGGUAAUACGGAGGAUCCGAGCGUUAUCCGGAUUUAUUGGGUUUAAAGGGAGCGUAGAUGGAUGUUUAAGUCAGUUGUGAAAGUUUGCGGCUCAACCGUAAAAUUGCAGUUGAUACUGGAUAUCUUGAGUGCAGUUGAGGCAGGCGGAAUUCGUGGUGUAGCGGUGAAAUGCUUAGAUAUCACGAAGAACUCCGAUUGCGAAGGCAGCCUGCUAAGCUGCAACUGACAUUGAGGCUCGAAAGUGUGGGUA
This 709-nucleotide ribosomal RNA is filed under the name uncultured Bacteroidales bacterium. RNAcentral's name for it is "bacterial SSU rRNA". It matches the Rfam family "Bacterial small subunit ribosomal RNA", at positions 66 to 767 of the family's 1533-position model. The record is from RNAcentral. Lineage: Bacteria; Pseudomonadati; Bacteroidota; Bacteroidia; Bacteroidales.